AGAGAUCAUGGCUCAGAAUCAACGCUGGCGGCGUGCCUAACACAUGCAAGUCGAACGCGACUGGGGACUUCGGUUCCCAGUUGAGUGGCGAACGGGCGAGUAACACGUGGGUGAUCUACCUUCGAGUGGGGGAUAACGUUCCGAAAGGAACGCUAAUACCGCAUGACGUUCUGGGUUUGAAGACCUGGAAACCAAAGCCGGGGACCGCAAGGCCUGGCGCUUGAAGAGGAGCCCGCGUCCGAUUAGCUAGUUGGCGGGGUAAUGGCCCACCAAGGCAACGAUCGGUAGCCGGCCUGAGAGGGCGGACGGCCACACUGGGACUGAGACACGGCCCAGACUCCUACGGGAGGCAGCAGUGGGGAAUUGUUCACAAUGGGCGCAAGCCUGAUGACGCAACGCCGCGUGGGGGAUGAAGGCCUUCGGGUCGUAAACCCCUGUCGAAUGGGACGAAAAGCCCGCGAUUUAACAAAACGCGGGACUGACGGUACCGUUAAAGGAAGCCACGGCUAACUCUGUGCCAGCAGCCGCGGUAAUACAGAGGUGGCAAGCGUUGUUCGGAAUUACUGGGCGUAAAGGGCGCGUAGGCGGCCUUCUAAGUCAGACGUGAAAUCCCCCGGCUUAACCUGGGAACUGCGUCUGAUACUGGGAGGCUUGAGUAUGGGAGAGGGAUGUAGAAUUCCAGGUGUAGCGGUGAAAUGCGUAGAUAUCUGGAGGAAUACCGGUGGCGAAGGCGGCAUCCUGGACCAUAACUGACGCUGAGGCGCGGAAGCUAGGGGAGCAAACGGGAAUAGAUACCCCGGUAGUCCUAGCCCUAAACGAUGAAUACUUGGUGUGGCGGGUAUCGAUCCCUGCCG
This 854-nucleotide ribosomal RNA is filed under the name uncultured Acidobacteriota bacterium. RNAcentral describes it as "bacterial SSU rRNA". It matches the Rfam family "Bacterial small subunit ribosomal RNA", at positions 8 to 843 of the family's 1533-position model. Lineage: Bacteria; Pseudomonadati; Acidobacteriota. The record is from RNAcentral.